Symphalangus syndactylus (siamang) is the source of this 3396-nucleotide RNA transcript. RefSeq lists it as uncharacterized. Lineage: Eukaryota; Metazoa; Chordata; Mammalia; Primates; Hylobatidae. The record is from RefSeq and is a predicted model, not a curated record.
CCCGGCAUUCGGGCCGCUAAGUUGGUGCCUAGAGUGUCCGUCCACGCCCAACCCGUCACUCCGCCACUCCCGCCGCCAAGACAGUGGGUCCCGCAGCCUCUACUCUUCUGGUGUGAGAUGGGACCGGAGGGCGGAGAGUGGACGCGGAAGCUCCUAUCUCGCCAGCCACAAUCGGCACCCAGGGUUCAGGCGGGUUCCUCUUCUGGGGUUGGGCAGCCUCAGAUGCCUGGGGGCCGGGGAGGCGGGGGCUUCAUCUCUGCUUCUGGGCUGCAGAUUCGAGAUUGCCCUAAGCCCUCUGACCUGGCCUGUCCUAGCCUCUGUCUGCCCUUCUUUCUGCCUCUUGUUCGGGCGGUCUGUCUGCUUCCUGUCUCUGGCUCUAUUCCUAUUCUCUGGGUUGCUGCCUCUGGGGACUGCAGCAGCCCAACAGGGCAGCCCGGGGACGCCUCAGGGCACUGCCCGGGGUCCUCCUCCUCAGUGCCCGGGGUCCUCCGGGUCCUCCUCCUGGUCACCUCCACGCAGCGUUGGUCUUCCUGCUGCGGCUGUGGGACGUGGAGGGGCGCCCGGGAGGGAAGACACAGGGCCCAGCAUAUCUGCUCGGGAGCCCCGGGGCCCCUGACCCCCUCUGCCAUUAUUAAGGGCGCCGGGUCCCGAGGCACCGAGAUGAUCAUGAUUGCAUCAGCCAGACAGAAGCGGAGCCGGGAGCUGCGCGGUGAGCGAACGAGUGAGACAAAGACGCCCGCGCCAUCUGUUUAUGCAAAGCGCUCUCCGCCGGGGACCCCGGCGUCCCGGCUCCUGGCCGGGCUUGGGGCAAGGGUCAUAAGCCCAUUCCCACCCGGCGCCCCCACCGCGCCUUGGCUUCCCCUCUCCUCAGCACUCAGAGGGGCCGCGGGGCGAGCGGAACGGAGAGGGGGUGGGGGUGUUGAUGUGAUUGGAGCGGACGCGGCUGUUUCUUCAAUAAUGGAUGGAGAUGAUGCGGACGGCGAAGCCGAGCUGGCCGGGAGAGGAGAGAGGAAUAGAAAUGGGGAAAGGAAGGAGUGGGGGCGGGAGACUCACCCCGGCGCGCGCGCACACACACGCGCGCGCGCACGUGCGUCACACUGUCAUUCGGAUACACGCCGCCGCGCGGCUCACACCCAGGCGCACGCCUACGCACUGUCACCGAGACACACAUACCUGCAGGCGGAGACGCGAUAGCAACACACACUCCCCGCUGGCUCUUCCUGAUUUUCACACAUACACAGACCUGCAGGCGGAGACUCACGGAAACGCCCCCACGCGGAGGCACACCCGGGCAAAAUCUCCCAGAUGGGAGCUGGGGACGGGGAAGUGGACAAACCCGACAGAUAUAGACACACUCAGGGGCACAGACACACACUCGGGCACAGAGUCGGACACACCUGGGGCUCAGGUAGACACACCUCACAUACCCAGGGAACAAACGGACACACAAACCACACGCCCGGGAUACAGACGUCCAUAAUUGCCAGGGGCACGGAGAGACCACCCACACCCACUCAGAGGCUAGCACACCUUAGCAUAUGCAAGAGUUGCCAUCUGUGCCCUGCGGGGUGGAAUGUGGCAGGGAAGUCAUCAGGGUCUCUGGAGCAGGCCUUGUUAGCCUAGCAGUAUAAUGAGGUCUUGGUGACAGGAGGCGCCUGGGGCUGUGGAUCAGGAGGCCCGUGCACCAGGGCUUAGCUGCCUGCAAGCUUCCUUGACUGGCCCCUAGGGCGGGUGGUGCCGACGUUGGGCCGCCUCUGAGCAGCAGACCCGGCGGACCCCACUGACUCAAAUCGGGCAGUUUGGUGGAGGGAGAGCCUAAAGUGAACACUGGAGCUGCACCAGGAGAUUCUCAGGAUCCCCAACACUGCUGUUGGUAGGGUUUAUAGAGAGGGUCACUCUGUACUCUGCCUUUUCUCCCCGUGCUGCUCAGUCUUCCAACUUCAAGGGGCACGUGUGUGUGUGUGUGUGUGUGUGCGCGCGCGCGCGCUGAGUGGAGUGGGCAGUGGAAGAGGUUGGGGUGCGGGUUGUCUUGUACCCCAGUACCGGCCCUUCCUCGGAUCUGUUUUCAAUUCAGUCUGCUCCUUGGCCCAGACUUAUGACCUUUGCAGCGUGCGGCAGUAUCAUCCAUCACCCGGGCGCCGCUUACGGGAUGGAGGGCGCUGGGAGCUCACAUAGGGUCGCUGUCACGCCUGCCGCCCUCUCUGGGGACCUGCUCUCCGGCCCGCGGGCCAGGGCUUAACAGUCUUGGCAUCCGGGACCGUCAAGGGCAAAGGGAACAGAAAACUGAACCCAGUUCUGCAGAGUCUUCUUGUGUGCCUCCCUACCCCCAUCACACCUCAGCCUUCUGGAAGGGGGGCGCGCCCGUCCCAGGCCCUCCUCUUCCCUAGCCCAGCUGAGCCUCUGCCCUCCCCCCGCCAGCAGCAGAUGGUGCCCGGGCUCCCGCUGCCAACCUUGCUAGGCGGUGCCAACCUCAGUCCUGGCAGACAACGGGCAGACCAGAAGAGGAGCUCCUGGCUGGCCAAGCCGACCCUCCCCCACCCGGCAUCGAGCUCAAGACCCCCCACACACGCCUGCCCCACUCCAGCGACCACCCCAGCCUGCCUCUCACUGGGUCCGCUCUCAGGUCCCCAAACUCCUCGUCUCCUUCUGCUCCCUUCCCCACACCUUCCCGCUCCUCGCCACCUGCCGCCCUGACCAGGGCCGGCCUAUUUGCAUAUUUGCAUAUGCAAAUAAUAACAUUUGCAUACGGCGCUCCGCAGGGGUGUCUCCACGAGAGCCGGUUAGCUGUCUGCCCUCCGUCCUCACUCGGUACCUGUCGGAAAGGGUUAGGGCAGGGGCCGCGCGGGUGGGGUUAGGCCCCCGGCCUAGCUAGCUCGGUUCUCGGAGGACUUGAGGAAGUGUUGCCAUGGAGACGGCACGCACCCCACCCCCUCCCAGGCCCAGGGUCUCGGGCUUGGUGUCUCCGGUUCUCUCCCCUUACCCACCCUCCACCCCCUCCCCAUCCCUCGCUCUCCAACCGAGAUCUUGCAUCGCCCCCUGGCGGCCUAGCUCGGCACCAAGCCAGAUUCCGAAAUGCAAGGGGCUGCCUGUGGCUAAAUCGCCAAGAGCAAGGGGGAACUUACCCUACUACAAGAUCCUGCUCCCAAUCGCUGGGGCGCGGGGGCGGUGACUCCAGCCCUGCCCUCCCCUUUCUUUACUGACUACAGAGGCCUCACCGGGCGGGCGCACUUCCCACCUCCCGCCAACCUCAGCCCAGAUGGGUCUCAGGUUACCCAAUGGUAAGGAGGCGGGACAGCUAGGGAGGAUUCUCCACCCCUCCGCAGGCCCUCUCCUCAACCCCAGUUAAAUAACAACUUUUCUAAGUUUUGUCAAAAGUUUAAUAAAUUUGCAACAUUC